This is an RNA transcript of Anguilla anguilla (European eel), 2104 nucleotides long. It is a transcript of the gene named tripartite motif-containing protein 16-like, with no coding region annotated. Lineage: Eukaryota; Metazoa; Chordata; Actinopteri; Anguilliformes; Anguillidae. The transcript has 7 exons. The record is from RefSeq and is a predicted model, not a curated record.
ACCAGGAAGUCACUCCCCCUCUCUCUGUCACACAGUUUCAGAGAAACGAAACUAAACUCUGUCAGUGUUAGCAGUAAAAUGGCUGAAGGUGGAGUUUUACUGGAUCAGGACCAGUUGAGCUGUGCAAUCUGUCUGGAUCUACUGAAGGAUCCAGUGACUACUGCCUGUGGACACAGUUACUGUAUGGGCUGUAUCAAGGGCUGCUGGGAUCAGGGUGAUCAUACUGGUGUCUACAGCUGUCCCCAGUGCAGACAGACCUUCACUCCAAGGCCUGUUUUGAGAAAAAACACCAUGCUGGCUGAAGUGGUGGAGAAACUGAAGACAGGACUCCAAGCUGCUCCUCCUGCUCACUGUUACGCUGGACCUGGAGACGUGGCGUGUGAUUUCUGCACUGGGAGAAAGCUGAAAGCUGUGAAGUCCUGUCUGGUGUGUCUGGCCUCUUACUGCGAAAGUCACCUCCACCCUCACUAUGAAUCUCCUGCUCUUAAGAAGCAUAACCUGGUCAAAGCCACUGGAAACCUGCAGGACAAGAUCUGCUCUCAUCAUGACAAAGUGCUGGAGGUUUACUGUCGUACUGAUCAGCAGUGUAUCUGUCUGCUGUGUGUGAUGGAUGAACACAGAGGCCAUGAUACAGUCUCAGCUGCAGCAGAAAGGACUGAGAAACAGAAGCAGCUGGGGGCGACACAGAGUAAACUCCAGCAGAGAAUCCAGGAGAGAGAGAAGGAGCUGCAGGAUCUGAGACAGGCUGUGCAGUCACUCAAGCGCUCUGCACAGGCAGCAGUGGAGGACAGUGAGAGGAUCUUUACUGACCUGAUCCGCUCCAUUGAGAGAAGGCGCUCUGAGGUGAAAGAGCUGAUCAGAGAUCAGGAGAAGGCUGAAGUGAGUCGGGCUGAAGGACUCCUGGAGCGACUGGAGCAGGAGAUUGCUGAGCUGAGGAGGAGAGACGCUGAGCUGGAGCAGUUUUCACACACAGAGGAUCACAUCCAGUUCCUUCAGAGCUGUCAGUCUCUCUGUGCCCCUCCUGGUCCUGGAGACCUUCCCAGCAUCACUGUCAGUCCACACGUCUCUUUUGAGGCUCUGAGGAAAUCUGUCUCUGAACUGAAAGAGCGACUGGAGGACGUCUGCCAGGUGGAAUUAGCGAAGAUUUCUAUAACAGUGGAAGAAGUCCAUAAUGAGCCCAGGACCAGAGAGGACUUCUUACAAUAUUCCUGUCAGCUCACUCUGGACCCCAACACAGCGUAUAAACAGCUCUGUCUGUCUGAGGGGAACAGAGAGGUGACCUAUGUGAGAGAGACCCGGCCAUAUCCUGAUCAUCCAGAGAGAUUUGAGCGCAAAGCCCAAGUGCUGUGCAGAGAGGGUCUGUCUGGACGCUGUUACUGGGAGGCUGAGUGGAGUGGGGAUGGGGUUUUUAUAGCAGUGUCAUAUAAAGAGAUCAGCAGGAAAGGGCGGAGUGAGGACUGUGCUCUGGGAUGGAAUAACAAGUCCUGGAGUUUGCGCUGCUCUCCCUCCGGUUACUACUUUUGGCACAAUGCUGAGAGCACUGAAAUCCCUGUCCCCCCCUCCUCCAGAAUAGGAGUGUACCUGGAUCACAGGGCAGGAACUCUGUCCUUCUACAGCGUCUCUGACACAAUGAGCCUCCUGCACAGAGUCCAGACCACAUUCACUCAGCCCCUCUAUCCUGCGUUUAGGGUUCAUUCUGUUGGAUCCUCCGUAAAACUGUGUGAUCUGGGAUGAGGCAGCGAGUGAAGGGAAGAUCAGCUGUAAUUAAAUACAGGGAAAAACACUCAAAUGAGGCAGCAAAUGAUUUAAAUUAAAUUAAAUUAAAUUAAAGAUUAGCCAUCAAAAUUUCAGUUCUAACUGGGAUCACAUGCCAUCUGAGUCCAUUUAACACUGAACAUUUUACUGCAUAAAGGAUCUCCAACCUGAUUGAAUUAUAUAUGGGUUAAUAAAGAAAUCAUUUUUUUUUUUUUUUUUUUACAUUUAUUUGUUCCCAACUGGUAUAACAGCAUGAUUUCAUUUUUAAUUUUUGUGAUUUGUUGGGGGUGUGAAGCAGAAAACACUCGGUCAUUUGAGACAGAAAAUGAAAUAAAAGUGCCAAAUUAAU